UGCUUCAGCAGCUUACACACUGUAUUAAAUCGGGACUGAUACUGAGCAGAUUCGCAUGACCCUUGAGCAAGGAUGGCAUGCAAAUUAGUAAAGUGUUCCAUAUUCAU
This is a small nuclear RNA of Hypanus sabinus (Atlantic stingray), 107 nucleotides long. NCBI's taxonomy places the organism in Eukaryota, Metazoa, Chordata, Chondrichthyes, Myliobatiformes, Dasyatidae. The record is from RefSeq and is a predicted model, not a curated record.